UUCUGCGCGAGGGAUAGUAGUGAAAACCCCACAGCGAGGAACGAGCGAGGAGUUGUAGCGGAUAGCCCGACCGCGG
Molecule: unclassified non-coding RNA, 76 nt
Filed under: Moheibacter sediminis
Lineage: Bacteria; Pseudomonadati; Bacteroidota; Flavobacteriia; Flavobacteriales; Weeksellaceae
Description: Flavo-1 RNA
Source: RNAcentral